This 1105-nucleotide long non-coding RNA is filed under the name Olea europaea subsp. europaea. The record is from RNAcentral. Lineage: Eukaryota; Viridiplantae; Streptophyta; Magnoliopsida; Lamiales; Oleaceae.
GUCACAGACAGUCACACUAAAAACAACAUUGAUCACAAGCAAUAAUAGUUUGCACAGAUCUAGUCACAAACAUAACAACUUACACAAACUUGAUUACAAACAAUAAUAAAUUACACAUACUUGGUUACAAAUAUCAAAUGUUAUAAGACACCUAAUCAUAUAAAAAUCACAGCUAAGACAUAAUAAUCACAUAAUUAUUUAUUACGACAUACAUGAUCAUAUUUAUUAGUUACAAAUUAUACAAUUAAUCAAUCAUGUUCACUAAUUUUCCUUGUCAAAAACCAUACUAUUUCUAUUAGUCAUACAUCACACAAUUUCCCUUCCAUUUUAAGUUUAGAGUAUCACUUGCUAAUCCCUUACCAUUAGAUAGAAAUUUGAGGAUUUACUUAUUUAUUAUUGAAAGUUAUUGACCAAAUGUUUUAUAGAAUAGAAAAUGAGGGGCUUCCUUGGCAAAAUUGGAGUUAGUGCUCUAAUAUUCAGCAUCCACUUAGACCCAUUUCCUCCAUUUGAUACAAGCUCAAACGGGUGACAGAGAACAGAGAACAAAAAUGGGAAAGGAAGAAAAAAGAGAGAGAAAGAAGUGAGUAUAGUUCAUGUGCUCCAUUGCUAAAACCAACAACCCGAUAAAAUGCUAAUUACAACGUCUAUUUGUUCCUCCUCAUUCGCAUCAUCUCUCAUUACGCCCCAAAUUCACCUUAAAAAGUAGAGGUUUGCGGUGGCGGAGUCAUUGGAUUUGCAUUGCUUACUUCUUAUCCAAAAAAGGUGCGGUCGUCACACUUAUUGAAAAAUCCUUUCGACAAGAUCGACAGUCACAAUUUGUCUCUCUCACUCUAAGCUAAAGAAAGAAAAAUGGUAUACGAGAAAACAAAAGAAAUUAAAACCCUAGAUUUUGAGCAAUGACAAUGGCCGAACGAUUAAGAUUGGGUCUUCCAAUCUUCCGUUCAAUCCUCACCUUCAACACUAUCUCCAUCGUCGCCGUCCAAACAUCCACAACAGUGAAAUCCCCCAUCUGAUCUCUCAUCAACACGGAAUUAUGGUUGAUGGGAGUGGGUAUGGUGGAUUGGGACAUUUGUGGAGAGAGAAUUCGUGAAGUGGGAGAAUUUGG